This is a non-coding RNA of Peromyscus maniculatus bairdii (prairie deer mouse), 841 nucleotides long. Lineage: Eukaryota; Metazoa; Chordata; Mammalia; Rodentia; Cricetidae. The record is from RefSeq and is a predicted model, not a curated record.
GCUUGGUACUUAGGGUCUCCAUCUUGAGUGAUCAGGAGUGGAGGGUAUGUACCAUUAGGUGGUGACAUCCUCACCAGACCGAUUUCCUAUAGUGAUGGAAGUCUUUGCUGACCAUGUUAUUAUUCAUGGUAACAAUAAGGAAAAAAAAAGGAGAAAACAACUCUGAGAAAUACAAUUACUGUAUCACGUCCUGGACUUUUCAUCCAAUGGGACCUGGGCUUCAAGGAGGAAGAAAACUAUUUGUAAGUCUGCAGUCCCUGUCUACAGCUCCACAGGUUUGAAGGCAAUGUUACAUUCAAGGGGAAUCUCUCGUCCUCCUCCACUGGAUGCUGGGGGCCCCCAGUGUGGUUGCGAAUGCCGUGGGGGGUGGAAGCUGCUUCUCUGGCACGUUGGACUGUGCAGCUGUGUUUCCUCUGUGUUGGCUCAGCCCAGCCGGAGGCUCGGCUCUCUCUUCACCGGCUUUUCAAGGGCAGGAUGGGGAUGUUUUGGGGGUCACUCUUUACCCACUCUCAGUGUGUUUUCCCGGACACAUCCUGUCAAGAUGAGGCCCAGCAGAAGGAAGAAAAUGCUUGUUGUAUGAUUGUUAAGGGAAAAAAAAAAAAAGCAUUUGACGUGAAUCAAGUAUUUUAGAAAACGGAGGGGAGAAAAGGCGAACAGCAUGGUGGGCAGAGUCAUGGUGUCUCCGCGUGUCUUACACCGAUGUGCUGAAGAAAUGAAGUUAAAAAGUCAUUAAUUAUUGUUUAGCUGGGAGCUUUGCUUCGGCUCCCCUCCUCCCUCUCCAGGCCCCCACUCUCAGAAAGACCGCCAAGAGGCGGCUCCUCCCCUGAAGCUGCUCGGAGAC